CCAAUAGCGUAUAUUAAAGUUGUUGCAGUUAAAAAGCUCGUAGUUGAAUUUCGGGAUUGACACAUCGGUCGUGCCUUAAGGGGUAUGAACUGGUGUAGUCAAUUUCUCACCUUCUGGAGAACCGCGAUGCCCUUAAUUGGGUGUCACGGGGAACCAGGACCUUUACUUUGAAAAAAUUAGAGUGUUUAAAGCAGGCAUUUUGCUUGAAUACAUUAGCAUGGAAUAAUAAAAUAGGACGGCAUGAUUCUAUUUUGUUGGUUUCUAGGAUCACCGUAAUGAUUAAUAGGGAUAGUUGGGGGCAUUAGUUUUCAAUUGUCAGAGGUGAAAUUCUUGGAUUUAUUGAAGACUAACUACUGCGAAAGCAUUUGCCAAGGAUGUUUUCAUUAAUCAAGAACGAAAGUUAGGGGAUCGAAGACGAUCAGAUACCGUCGUAGUCUUAACCAUAAACUAUGCCGACUAGGAAUCAGACGAUGUUAAUUUUUUAAUGACUCGUUUGGCACCUUACG
Molecule: ribosomal RNA, 506 nt
Filed under: uncultured Glomeromycotina
Lineage: Eukaryota; Fungi; Glomeromycota
Description: partial small subunit ribosomal RNA
Rfam family: Eukaryotic small subunit ribosomal RNA
Source: RNAcentral